RNAcentral lists this ribosomal RNA (462 nucleotides) under uncultured bacterium. RNAcentral describes it as "partial 16S ribosomal RNA". It matches the Rfam family "Bacterial small subunit ribosomal RNA", at positions 28 to 507 of the family's 1533-position model. The record is from RNAcentral.
GACGAACGCUGGCGGCGUGCUUAACACAUGCAAGUCGAGCGGUAAGGCCUUUCGGGGUACGCGAGCGGCGAACGGGUGAGUAAAAAGUGGGUGAUAUGGCCUGCACUUAGGGAUAAGCAUGGGAAACUGGGUCUAAUAUAGGAUAUGACCUCCUAUAGUAUGGUGGGUGGUGGAAAGAUGGAUCGGGGCGGGAGGGGCCCGCGGCCCAUCAGCUUGUUGGUGGGGUAAUGGCCUACCAAGGCGACGACGGGUAGCCGACCUGAGAGAGUAACCGGCCACACUGGUACUGAGACACCGCCCAGACUCCUCCGGGAGGCAGCAGUGGGGAAUAUUGCACAAUGGGCGAAAGCCUGAUGCAGCGACGCCGCGUGAGGGAUGACGGCCUUCGGGUUGUAAACCUCUUUCAGCAGGGACGAAGCGCAAGUGACGGUACCUGCAGAAGAAGCACCGGCUAACUACGUG